RNAcentral lists this microRNA (23 nucleotides) under Callorhinchus milii (elephant shark). RNAcentral's name for it is "eshark_NOVEL_122". The record is from RNAcentral. Lineage: Eukaryota; Metazoa; Chordata; Chondrichthyes; Chimaeriformes; Callorhinchidae.
CCUCCUGAUCGUCAGCAUCGCUC